Molecule: long non-coding RNA, 338 nt
Organism: Leopardus geoffroyi (Geoffroy's cat)
Lineage: Eukaryota; Metazoa; Chordata; Mammalia; Carnivora; Felidae
Exons: 3
Source: RefSeq, a predicted model, not a curated record
GACUUUUUACCUUUUUCAUGAUGGAGUCCUGUACUGUGUAGGUUACAGUUAUUCUAGUCCAUGGAGUGCUGGUAGUGGUAUUUGUAUCCCAUCUGUCUUCCAUUCCAUAUCACAGGCCCAGUUGUGAUCAGGGAUGUCAGCUCACUUCACACAAUCAGAACUUGUUCAUUUGGGGCACCCUGAAUGAUGCCAGAUGGGCAAGAACCUGAAUGAGAACCACCUCAAGAGAACCUCUUGCCUGGAACCUCAUGGAUUCCUCAGAGAAUGUUGUGAACUGCCAACAGAAGCUGGACUACUUCUGUAAGAGAAAUUCCUCAUCAACCACGUGGUCAGGUAUG